GUUAAACUUUGAACACCGAAACCAUAGCGCCAAGAACAAAGCUAAACUGGUUUGGAAUCGUUGUGGGAAUUAACCAAGGUUGACGCUACCUGAAAAUCAGUUGGUUAGAGUAGAAGGGGCGGGCCCGUAUUGUUCCUCGGAGCAAUUCUUCCAUUUCGGAAGUGACUUGUGUGAAUAUUCCCCAAGUUUGAAGUGGAAUCAUUAUUUGGUAAUCUGUCAAUGGCGUAUAGAGGGCGUGGACGUGGUGGAUUUGGAGGAGGUGGCGGCGGUUUUGGCUAUGCCAUUCAAGUUCCCUUUUAGGUUUUUCCUGAUGUUGAUUUGCCUAAUGUCAAAGGUAUAUUUGAUCCAGAGAAGAAGGUAAACAAGGGUCUGAGUGAGGAAGAAAACUUGUCAAUCAAAGUCUAAAGUUUCAAAAAAUUUGGAAAGGCUCUCUUUUGUAUCUUGAGCAGACCACUUCAAAGGGCUAGCAUGAUCUACUUUAAAACUCGUUGUUUAUGUUUUUUUUUUC
Prunus mume (Japanese apricot) is the source of this 508-nucleotide non-coding RNA. Lineage: Eukaryota; Viridiplantae; Streptophyta; Magnoliopsida; Rosales; Rosaceae. The record is from RefSeq and is a predicted model, not a curated record.